This 342-nucleotide transfer-messenger RNA is filed under the name Maribacter sp. It matches the Rfam family "transfer-messenger RNA". From Rfam's summary of the family: Bacterial tmRNA, also known as 10Sa RNA or SsrA, is named for its dual tRNA and mRNA-like properties. Lineage: Bacteria; Pseudomonadati; Bacteroidota; Flavobacteriia; Flavobacteriales; Flavobacteriaceae. The record is from RNAcentral.
GGGGGUGAAUAGGGUUCGACUGGUUGUUAAAAUAAUAGUUGCAUUGAGUAGUUGAACGAAGGGCUACUUAAAAAAUCGUUCAUACUUUUUAAGUGCAGAAGAGAAUUUCUCACUAGCCGCUUAGUGCGGCAGGGGUAUCACAGCCCUGUAAACCAAAUAGUGAUGACUCAGAUAAAUCUGGUAGAGAUUAUGUACUUGAAUUAAAUACAUAUGAUAACAGUAAACUGUUUGACUCCGAUAAUCGGAUAAUUUUGUUUGUUGUGUGAUUACAAUAAACUAACAAUGUAGAUACUAUUACAGAGGCAAUACAGCACGGCGGUUCGAUUCCGCCCACCUCCACUG